GGACCGGAACCCGGACGGGUCGGACAAAAUCCGACCCGGCCCGGACCGGUUGACCCAUUAGCUACCUUUAAUUGAGACACAAGUUACUAUUGGAAUAUACUUUAAUUUACUUGCUUUCUGAUAAUGUUAUUCUCAAGUUUCAUUCUUUACAUACUUUUCGAUUAUCAGUAAUCCGACUCUUCUAAAAUUUUCCUUAUUUUUCGUUUAAAUAAAUAUAUCGAAUUUUUCUUUUGCUUUUCUCGUGUCUAGCUUCUCAAAGGAAAAUACCCUUUUUCGCCGGUUCCAUCCUUCCUUUUUUCCCAAAAAA
This 307-nucleotide long non-coding RNA is filed under the name Nicotiana benthamiana. RNAcentral describes it as "long non-coding RNA (NBEN_LNC001784)". Lineage: Eukaryota; Viridiplantae; Streptophyta; Magnoliopsida; Solanales; Solanaceae. The record is from RNAcentral.